Sphaeramia orbicularis (orbiculate cardinalfish) is the source of this 698-nucleotide long non-coding RNA. RefSeq lists it as uncharacterized. Lineage: Eukaryota; Metazoa; Chordata; Actinopteri; Kurtiformes; Apogonidae. The record is from RefSeq and is a predicted model, not a curated record. The transcript is spliced from 5 exons.
GACCAGAUGUGACGAGAACCAAUAAGAAACAACUUUCAGAGUCAAAGAAAGUGACAAAGUGAUAAAAGUUAGAAGCUCUGUUGUUGUUUUCACCUUUGGACACAUCUCUAAAUGACAAGAAUAGAGUUUGAUGCUGAAAUCACAGCGUUUCUUCUACACAGAGUCUCAAACGUCCUGCUUUGUUCUGAACUAAAAGAUGUUUGGUCACAGAGGCGUGAAGAAACUAGAUCAUAUUCCAAUUUAAGAAGCUGGACUCAGUAUACAGAUCCUCUGAGCCUCUGGUCGUCUGUGUUGUGCUGUUUGUCGACUCGGACACUUUGACCUGUGCAUAUACUGUGUCCUGCUGCCCUGCAUUGACCUGAACAGUGACAGAGGAUGCUUCAGGACUCUGCUGACGGAAGGUCACGUCUUCAUAGUGGAUGUCGUCUUCACUUUGUCUUGCUGCUUCUUGAGGAACGAGUUCUUCACCUGUUUGGAUCUGUGAACAAUGAACCCAGAGAGAAAUAUUAUGAGCUGGAUCCUCUUGUUCAGUUAUAAGACUGUCACUAAUUAUUCAACAUCUGUCUGUUCUUGUACACAAACACAUUGAUGGCUCCAUGUGUGCUGGUCUUGAACCAGGUGAAGUUGCUGACAGGAGGUUUGGCUCUGCUGGAGCAGGUCAGGUUCACCCACAUACCUGCCCACAGCGAACCUGAAGG